UGGCAAUGUCGCAUAGUUUCGACAGCCGAAACGAUUGCGCAUCGUCCAAGGUCCUAUUUCUGUCAACGGGCGAACACCAAAAUGUAAACAACAAAUCAAAACCAGAAUUCAAUUGGGACAACAGAAAUUCUGAAUCAAGGGAAAAUACAUCAAGCUGGAGACGUGGAAAGUCUUUCAUGUACCUUACGCUCGGGAUCGUUAACUAUUGGAAUUUUACCCUCGUUACAGAUGGAUUGAUCUGAAGUGGUGGUGAUAAGUUAGCAUCAGCUGAUCGAAGUUCGAUAUACGGGACAAAGUGAUGCAACCUCCUGACUAUUUUUUAUCGGCUAGAUCUAUUAGAAAGGUCGUUUUGGGUUUUGGUGUGAUACUGUGAACAUGUUGAACUUCCACAAGAUUACGAAUAAAUUUUUACCUCUCUCGAUUGAAUAUAGUGAUUUGUAAGUCAUCACAUCGUGAAGUGUAAUUAUUGUGAGUGAAAUGAAGAGUCAUAGCAUUUUGUUAUACCUUACGUA
Molecule: long non-coding RNA, 512 nt
Organism: Leptinotarsa decemlineata (Colorado potato beetle)
Lineage: Eukaryota; Metazoa; Arthropoda; Insecta; Coleoptera; Chrysomelidae
Source: RefSeq, a predicted model, not a curated record